UAAGGAAUAUUGGACAAUGGUCGCAAGACUGAUCCAGCCAUGCCGCGUGAAGGAUGAAUGCACUAUGGGUUGUAAACUUCUUUUAAACGGGAAAAAACCCCUCUACGUGUAGAGGGCUGAUGGUACCGUAAGAAUAAGGAUCGGCUAACUUCGUGCCAGCAGCCGCGGUAAUACGAAGGAUUCGAGCGUUAUCCGGAUUUAUUGGGUUUAAAGGGUGCGUAGGUGGACUAAUAAGUCAGUGGUGAAAGCCCGCAGCUUAACUGCGGAACUGCCAUUGAUACUGCUAGUCUUGAGUACAGUUGAGGUGGGCGGAAUGUGUCAUGUAGCGGUGAAAUGCUUAGAUAUGACACAGAACACCGAUUGCGAAGGCAGCUCACUAAGCUGUAACUGACACUGAGGCACGAAAGCGUGGGGAGCAAA
This 420-nucleotide ribosomal RNA is filed under the name uncultured bacterium. RNAcentral's name for it is "bacterial SSU rRNA". It matches the Rfam family "Bacterial small subunit ribosomal RNA", at positions 355 to 772 of the family's 1533-position model. The record is from RNAcentral.